UAUCUUUAACUGGCGUUCAAUAUUUUCUUUUGAGGUAAACUUUACAUACAAUGAAAUUCACACACUUCACUAAGUUUCAUAAGUGCAUACACCUGUGUAACCCAAACCCCUCCCCAGCAUGGCAACUAGUUUUUUUUUUUUAAUGCAGCCUCUAAAGCAAGUGUCAGAGAGAGAGAGAAAGAGAGAGAAAUUAUCUUUUUUUUUUUUUUUUCACUGCAACCUCUGCCUUCUGAGUUCAAGCAAUUCUCCUGCCUCAGCCUCCUGAGUAGCUGGGAUUACAGGCACGCUUAGGGGGAAAGAUUGGAAACUCCAUUUAGGACCUAUGGAAUUUGAGAUGUCUUUUAAACCCUUGGGUAGAAAUGGUGAUGAGGUAGGAGCCCAAGGUUUCGUGGCCAGGUCUAGGUUACAGACAGAAAUUUGAGGAUUAUCA
Molecule: non-coding RNA, 430 nt
Filed under: Pan troglodytes (chimpanzee)
Lineage: Eukaryota; Metazoa; Chordata; Mammalia; Primates; Hominidae
Source: RNAcentral